RNAcentral lists this ribosomal RNA (301 nucleotides) under uncultured bacterium. RNAcentral describes it as "partial 16S ribosomal RNA". It matches the Rfam family "Bacterial small subunit ribosomal RNA", at positions 509 to 809 of the family's 1533-position model. The record is from RNAcentral.
CAGUAGCCGCGGUAAUACGAAGGGGGCUAGCGUUGCUCGGAAUGACUGGGCGUAAAGGGCGCGUAGGCGGUUGGUACAGUCAGAUGUGAAAUUCCUGGGCUUAACCUGGGGGCUGCAUUUGAUACGUGCUGGCUUGAGUGUGGAAGAGGGUUGUGGAAUUCCCAGUGUAGAGGUGAAAUUCGUAGAUAUUGGGAAGAACACCGGUGGCGAAGGCGGCAACCUGGUCCAUGACUGACGCUGAGGCGCGAAAGCGUGGGGAGCAAACAGGAUUAGAUACCCGGGUAGUCCCUGUCUCUUAUAA